Molecule: ribosomal RNA, 465 nt
Filed under: Vreelandella stevensii
Lineage: Bacteria; Pseudomonadati; Pseudomonadota; Gammaproteobacteria; Oceanospirillales; Halomonadaceae
Description: partial 16S ribosomal RNA
Rfam family: Bacterial small subunit ribosomal RNA
Source: RNAcentral
CCUACGGGUGGCAGCAGUGGGGAAUAUUGGACAAUGGGCGAAAGCCUGAUCCAGCCAUGCCGCGUGUGUGAAGAAGGCCUUCGGGUUGUAAAGUACUUUCAGUGGGGAAGAAAGCCUUGGGGCUAAUACCCUCGAGGAAGGACAUCACCCACAGAAGAAGCACCGGCUAACUCCGUGCCAGCAGCCGCGGUAAUACGGAGGGUGCGAGCGUUAAUCGGAAUUACUGGGCGUAAAGCGCGCGUAGGCGGUCUGAUAAGCCGGUUGUGAAAGCCCCGGGCUCAACCUGGGAACGGCAUCCGGAACUGUCAGGCUAGAGUGCAGGAGAGGAAGGUAGAAUUCCCGGUGUAGCGGUGAAAUGCGUAGAGAUCGGGAGGAAUACCAGUGGCGAAGGCGGCCUUCUGGACUGACACUGACGCUGAGGUGCGAAAGCGUGGGUAGCAAACAGGAUUAGAUACCCUUGUAGUC